Long non-coding RNA from Brassica rapa (field mustard), 2964 nucleotides. RefSeq lists it as uncharacterized. The record is from RefSeq and is a predicted model, not a curated record. NCBI's taxonomy places the organism in Eukaryota, Viridiplantae, Streptophyta, Magnoliopsida, Brassicales, Brassicaceae.
AUUAGGCUUUGUCUUUAAGUUAAUCACCACCAAAUCACACAAGUCAUGGUUAACACUGACGAUUCAUUUAUAGUUUCAUUGUUGUUCGAUCUUAGUUCUAUUAUAUGGUAAAUAGACCAAGACAUUUUACCUGAAAUGUCUUCUGGAUUUGUGAUACUGCAGAUUUUUAAGUUGUAUGUUACAAAAAAUUUUGGAUGCAAGUUUGGAUAUAGGAUAAAAUGGAUUUGAAUUAUAAAAAAUAUACCUGAAAUUUAUAAAAUAGACCCAAAAAUUACAAAGAAAUAUAUCCUAAAAUAUGAAAAAGAUUUGAAAAAUAUCCAAAAAAUCUGAAAGUUAUAAAGAAAUCAAUCCAAAAACAUGAAAAGAUGUGAAAUAUGCCCAAGAGACUUGAAAAUAAACCGAAACUGUUUGUAUUUGUAAUUCUUUAAAGAUAUACAAAUUGUUUACCCAAACCGGUCAAGAACUGAAAUGAUCCGAUCCGAUCCGAAAACAAACAUAAAUUUUCCAAGCACUUAAUUUGAUUCAAAUGUCUAAAACUUAAAAGACUCAAACCCGAAAAGAGUCGACUCGAAUUCUAUCUGAAUACUCGAAUGUCUAGUUGUUGUUUCGGUUUUAAUUUGUAAUUGAGAUUUAUUGUUACUACUAUAUUAUGAGUUUUUUUAGUAAUGGAAGUGAAUUUAGUAUUGAUAUUGGUUAAAGGUAUAGUCAAAUACUCCUGUUAUUGGUCAUUGGUAUUGGGUCAUGAUUAAUAUCUAUCUAGUCCCUACAUAUGUGUGUACAAAGGAGGAAAAAUGUUCAAGCACCUUUUACUUAAGCACCUUUUUUUAAUUAUAGUAAUGGAUUUUCCCUUUACGAAAAGAGUUAAUGGAAAACAAUUUAAUUAAUUCUCUUAAUUUUAAUUUCAUGAACAACACUCAUGUGAUUACAUCAUGAAUAUACACCUUUUUUAUUUAAUUAGAAAGAGGAAAAUAUUGUUAAUGUAGCUUUUUUGCUUUAAAAAUAAACAAUUAGGAAAAGCUAGUAACUAUUGUUUCAAAAUAUUUGUAAAAUAUCCAAAAAAAUCAAUUUUUUCAGUCACCAAGAAGUAAAAUAUUUGUGGAAAUUGUGUUUUAAAUCUGCCAUUAAUGUAUGUUAUCACCCAGUUAUUGUAAAUGCCCAACUAUGAAACUUAAUAAGAUAAAUAGCAAUUAAAACAUUAUUAACUUGGCAAAGUCAAAAAGCUAAUAACAGUGGACUUGGAUUUUUCUUCAACAACUAGCUAGAGUGGUUUGACAAUUUCUCCCAAAUUUUCGAUUUAAAGAUAGAGUCAUAUUAAUAAAUGUGGUUUCUUGUUACUUUUCUUUUAGGCUUAAAACAGCAAAUGAUUCAUCAAGUGUUGAAAUGUUGACCGAAGCAGUCCAACGAUUCUUUCACACUUGAAAAUAAGUUUCAACCUCUUUAAAAACCCAAUAAGAUGUGUUAAAAAAUUUAUUCUCCAUCAACAAUGGGAAACUCUCUAAAGUCUUUCAAACGCCAACCUCAUUCAGUGGCCUACAAGCGUCCCAUCUAUGUUUCAGAAAACGACAAUCUGAAAGUCUUCAGCUUCACGGAACUGAAGAAAGCAACUAAGAACUUCAUAGAAUGCAAGGUCGUAGAUGGUGACGAUCGCUCUUCUCGAAAGUUCUACAAGGGCUACAUCGAUGAGUAUGUUCCAUCAAGAGCUGGAACCGGAAUCACUGUUUCUGUCCUGGAUGUUGGUAGCUCAUUCCCUCUACAAGACCGAGAGAUAAGCAAAGUCAGUCCAUUUGUAUAUCAUCUUUUAUGUCUUGUGCAUCUGAUUGAUCACGAUAACAUUUAAUUGCAAGAACAAGUGCAAUCUAUAGGACAGAUUAUUCAUCCCAAUGUAGUCAAACUUUUGGGUUACUGUUGUGAAAAUGACAAAAUACACUUCUUGGUUUUUGAAUACUUCCACAAAGGAAGCUUGGAGCGUCACAUUUAUGGAAGUUAAGAUCUCUUAUAAUCUAAUGGAUAAUAAAUAGCAUUCUGAUUUACAUAGAAGUGUCAUGUUUUUCUCAACAGAAGAAGAAGAACCACUACCGUGGGAGAUACGGGUUAAGAUAGCAAUUGGAGUAGCUCGAGGUGUUGAAUUUAUCCACUUUAUCAAGAACAAACCGGUAUUCGAAAACUCAGAAUGUAUAACAUUAUGCUUGAUGAGGUAAUGGUUUAUUUAUAUCUCUCUUUUAUUUUCUGUUUAUUAUCUUAAAAAUCAAUACCUAUGUUUGGAUUUUUGCCAGCAAUACAAUGCAAAAUUGUUUUAUCUUGAAUUAAACCAAGAAGAUGCAUGUAGACUCAUUGGAGGACUUGAAUACGAACCUCGAAUAUGUACAAUGUACAUUACAAAAACCUUAACUUCGUUCUAGACUAUAUAUGUUUUUUGCAAUGUCAAGACAAUUUGUGUCAUUUAUACAGGUCGUCUGGAUUUGAAGUCUGACGUUUUCACACUUGGUGUGAUCUUGCUUGACCUUGUAAUUGGUUCUAAAGAUACAAUACGAAAGGAGAGAAGAAAAAGCAUAGCUACCACCAGGCCAUCUUUAUUGUGUGAUGCUCAGAAGAUUAGGGAAAUAAUCAAUCCACGACUUAGGAAUGAUUAUCCAGUGAAUGCCGUGAAAGAAAUGGGCAUACUCAUCCAAAGAUGCACCAAGUGGGACAAGAAUGAACGACCACUGAUGCAGCAAGUCUUGGAUUCUCUAAGUUACAUUGCAGAAUUUAAGACUAGUGUGUAGAGGUUACUAAUACUUUUCACUACAUUGGAAAAGUGAAGAGGUUAAUGAUAGAUUAAUACCCAAAACCCAUGCUAGAGCGAAAUCAUGGACUAUUUUGUUCUAAUCAUAUUACUUAUAAACACUAAUACUCAUAAGAUCGCUGAUAUGAUCCAUGCAUAAGUUGUUAACCAUCAUAUUAUCAUGCACUUGUGGCACUUCGGUU